Molecule: ribosomal RNA, 480 nt
Filed under: uncultured bacterium
Lineage: Bacteria
Description: partial 16S ribosomal RNA
Rfam family: Bacterial small subunit ribosomal RNA
Source: RNAcentral
GACGAACGCUGGCGGCGUGCUUAACACAUGCAAGUCGAGCGGAAAGGCCACUUCGGUGGUACUCGAGCGGCGAACGGGUGAGUAACACGUGAGUAAUCUGCCCUUCACUCUGGGAUAGCCACCGGAAACGGUGAUUAAUACCGGAUACGACCACUCCACGCAUGUGGUGGUGGUGGAAACUUUUUGGGUGGGGAAUGUGCUCGCGGCCUAUCAGCUUGUUGGUGGGGUAAUGGCCUACCAAGGCUUCGACGGGUAGCCGGCCUGAGAGGGUGACCGGCCACACUGGGACUGAGACACGGCCCAGACUCCUACGGGAGGCAGCAGUGGGGAAUAUUGGACAAUGGGCGGAAGCCUGAUCCAGCAACGCCGCGUGAGGGAUGACGGCCUUCGGGUUGUAAACCUCUUUCAGCACCGACGAAGCGCAAGUGACGGUGGGUGCAGAAGAAGGACCGGCCAACUACGUGCCAGCCGCCGCAGUAA